CCUACGGGCGGCUGCAGUGGGGAAUAUUGGACAAUGGGGGGAACCCUGAUCCAGCCAUGCCGCGUGUGUGAAGAAGGCCCUCGGGUUGUAAAGCACUUUCAGUGAGGAAGAACGCCUGGUGGUUAAUACCCAUCAGGAAAGACAUCACUCACAGAAGAAGCACCGGCUAACUCCGUGCCAGCAGCCGCGGUAAUACGGAGGGUGCGAGCGUUAAUCGGAAUUACUGGGCGUAAAGCGCGCGUAGGUGGCUUGAUAAGCCGGUUGUGAAAGCCCCGGGCUCAACCUGGGAACGGCAUCCGGAACUGUCAAGCUAGAGUGCAGGAGAGGAAGGUAGAAUUCCCGGUGUAGCGGUGAAAUGCGUAGAGAUCGGGAGGAAUACCAGUGGUGAAGGCGGCCUUCUGGACUGACACUGACACUGAGGUGCGAAAGCGUGGGUAGCAAACAGGAUUAGAUACCCCUGUAGUC
RNAcentral lists this ribosomal RNA (465 nucleotides) under Vreelandella stevensii. Its description in RNAcentral is "partial 16S ribosomal RNA". It matches the Rfam family "Bacterial small subunit ribosomal RNA", at positions 338 to 795 of the family's 1533-position model. Lineage: Bacteria; Pseudomonadati; Pseudomonadota; Gammaproteobacteria; Oceanospirillales; Halomonadaceae. The record is from RNAcentral.